This 643-nucleotide long non-coding RNA is filed under the name Androctonus crassicauda. Lineage: Eukaryota; Metazoa; Arthropoda; Arachnida; Scorpiones; Buthidae. The record is from RNAcentral.
UCUGUACAUAUGUCUGAUAAGGGCAGUCGAAAAAAAACUCAUGCAAUUACAUUUCAUUAAAAUCAAACUAGUGUGUCAUAGUAUAUGACAUAGCUACGAAGCAACAGUUACUUCCUAUUAUUUCAUAAUAGAUUGUUUUCAUUUUAAUUAAGAGAGUUGAAGACCACAAAAAAAUCACAUUGAGGGCCAGAUGCAGCCUGUGGGCCGCCAGUUUGACACCCUUGUUUUAAAGCAACCACUCACUUCCCAGGAAUUUGCAGUCAAGCUUACUUUACUUUUCAGUGUGUGUUAUUGGGUGGGCUGCUACAAUAAACUAUCUGUGGUCCAAUUACAGAAAUGUAAAAAUUAUUAUAGCUGUUUAUGCAUGAAAUGCCUUUGUUUGAAAAGCUUUUACUAAUUAUAAUAAUAAAGAAACACAAUGUUGUAAUACAAAAUAAAAACUAUAAAACUGAUGAUGAUUGAGGAGUGGUCUGCCUGGCCUGAAGUUUUCAACCUAAUGGACUUAGAGAGAAAUAAGACCAUUUUCAUAUGUUACAAUUUCUUGAUAGAAAUUAAAAAAAUUAUAAAAUUUACCGCUAAAAACUCUAAAAGUGAUACAAGAACAAGUCAAAAAAUAUGAACUAUUAAUAAAAAAUGACAAUAU